Acanthochromis polyacanthus (spiny chromis) is the source of this 787-nucleotide long non-coding RNA. RefSeq lists it as uncharacterized. NCBI's taxonomy places the organism in Eukaryota, Metazoa, Chordata, Actinopteri, Pomacentridae. The transcript is spliced from 2 exons. The record is from RefSeq and is a predicted model, not a curated record.
CGUAAGUCCAAGGCGUACGUAAUCUACGGAACUAGGCCUGAGCCGGAAGAUUUUUGAUUGACAGGAAAGGGAGCAAACCAAACGCCUCGGUCCGAGCGCAUUGAUUGGCUGAUGUUUUUCAGGUCCUGCCAUGUCCACAGUUUUUUGUUUUUUUAAAAAAUUCUUUUAUAGAUCAUACAUACAAGUCCACUAAAGGUCAGUAUAUUCAUUUUAUGUGAAUCAGACAAAUUAAACAAAAACAAAAAAACAUCCUCUAUAAUGCCUUUAAGUGCUCACAUCAGAAUUCAGAAAGCAUUUUAAGUGCACGUGAUCUCAGUAAUAAUAAAACUGAAAGGAAUCUCUUUGUCACAUCUGUUUAAUUUUUUGUUUUUGUUUUUUUUACAGUUGAUUGUAUGUGUAUCACAUUGUAAUACAAGAUAACUGUUUCAAUUAUCACAGACAAAAACAUAUGUGUUGUCAUCAUUUUUCAUUAAGAAAAACAAAUUAUCAUCUGCUGUUUGUAUGUACAGUUCUCUUAACCCAUGCUAACCUUUCUUUUCAGAGAGAGGACCCAGGAAACCCCUGCUUACAAGCAGGACUUUAGACAUGUGUCAGGCAAUAGUCAAAGCUAGACUGUAUCAGCGCUUUAACCGACCGCAGUCCUGAUCAUUCCCAAGAAGUUCCAUAUGAAUACAUGACUUUGCCAAACGUUAUGCCAAAUCCAUUAACAUAGCCAAAAUUAUCAACAAAAAAAUCAAACAUGCUUAAAUCUAAUUAAUAAAAAGGUGAUGGACAGGGUAAAAAAAAA